CAUUUACGUAGUGUUUAGCAUCGACCAGGCACUAUUCUCCUAUGUCAGUUCUUUUGGGGAUUGUCACCCCCGUUUUUCAGAUGAGAAGUCAGAGGCUCGGAUUAAGGCCCUUGCCUGAGGUCGAAGGACUGAUAGGUGGCAGAACGGGGAUUGCAGCACAGACACUCCGUCCCGCCUUGAGAAGCGUUGCUGACCGGUGGCCUCCGGUCUCCAAUCCGCUCCCUCCUGCUCUGGGACCUGCUCAGAUCCGGGCCCCUCCCCACCUCACCACCCAGAUUCUCCUCUCAAGUCACCCAUCUCCUGCACACGACCAAACCUAGUGCGCGGCUCCUUCCUCCUGGAACUCUCUGUGCCCUUGCUUCCCCGACGCCGUCCUCUUGUGGUUUUCUUCCUUUCACACCUUUUUAGUCUCUUUUACUGGUUCCCCUUUGAUUGUCCAAGAUCUAAGCGUUGGAUUGCAUGGGUCCUUCCCUGCCCAGCAGCUGGAGGGGCUGCUGACAGCCCCGUCUCCAGCCCAGCUCUCUCCUUGAGGCACGGCUCAUGCAUGCAGCUGCUCGCCUAGGGUCGUUACAGGACGGCUUAUCUUCCCGAGGCCCCUUCAGGGCGCCUCCCUUCCUGCUUCGCCAAAGAGACCGAGNCUCUUUUACUGUUUUUUUUUUUUUUUUCCAUACUGCAGUUCGGUCUGCUGGUGGAUCAUGUUGGCUCUCAAUUCCAAGGGCACUCAGUACCUGACCACUUUUCCCCCCAUCUGCCCCUGCCCGGGAGCAAGCCACCAGGUCCCUCCUGGAGAGCUCUUGGCACCUCCAGCAGUCUCCUGGCCUGCAGCGAUGCCCUGGGUGGGCAGUCGUCCAGCCAUGCUCUUCCUCAGCACAAGCAGAGCCCUCCAGGGGCCUCCAUCUCGCACAGGUCACUCCUCACCUCCUUCGAGUCUCUUGUCUGGUGCCACUUUCUCAUAAAGCCUUCCUCGACUGGCUUCUCAAAAUGUGCAGCCUGUGUCCCCCGCCCCCUUGUUUUCUUGCACCUCCUGGCCUCAUCUGACACGUGUGCAUUCAUUUGGUGGUUGUCUGUCUCCCACAUUCCCUGUAAACUGCCUGAAAUCAGCAUUUUGCCUGUCCUGCUCACAGCUGUAUCCCCAAUAUGCGCCAGUGUGUCGUAGAUGCUCAAAAAGUAUUUGAAUGCUAGGUAUGUUUAUCCCUGUUUUGCAGAUUGAGUAAUCGAAGGUCUGAGGGGUUAAGCUGCUUGCCACAGACCCCGAAGUGCGAGGAUAUGGAUUAAAAUUCAGACACGAGCUUAAUUGCUCUGUAUGCUCCUCUUUCUUUCUAUCUCUCUCCUUCCUUCCUUCUGUCUUUUUGGAGGCACUCGCAGCAUGUGGAAGUUCCCAGGCCGGGGAUCGCACCCGUGCCGCAGCAGUGACCCAGGCCCCUGCAGUGACAACACUGGAUUCUUACGCUGCUGCACCACAAGAGAACUCCUUUAUGCUCCCUUUUCUUGUUAAAAAGGACAGUAAUAGGUAAGACGCAGAUUUGCCAUGAGGAGGACGUGAAUACUGCACAGGAAAACACUUUGCGGGAAUGUUACUUAUUCAAUUUAUUGAGAACCUUAGCUUUUUGUGUCUGUUUUAUUCCACAACCCGCCUGAAAGUUCUUUUGUGUUCUCGGGUUUUUAUUUAGGAGUAGCUGACACUGUCCCACCAAACUGCAGGAGAAGCCUGCGUGUGUGUUUGUGUCUCUCUGUGGCUCUGAUCUUCCCCACAGG
RNAcentral lists this long non-coding RNA (1755 nucleotides) under Sus scrofa (pig). Its description in RNAcentral is "lncRNA (ENSSSCG00035013820.1)". Lineage: Eukaryota; Metazoa; Chordata; Mammalia; Artiodactyla; Suidae. The record is from RNAcentral.